Lynx canadensis (Canada lynx) is the source of this 4399-nucleotide long non-coding RNA. RefSeq lists it as uncharacterized. NCBI's taxonomy places the organism in Eukaryota, Metazoa, Chordata, Mammalia, Carnivora, Felidae. The transcript has 3 exons. The record is from RefSeq and is a predicted model, not a curated record.
GUUAUUAACGUCUUUCAAGUCAUUUGCUCGGGACCCCGCAUGCCGCGGGCCUUCCUGGCCUGAUGCCCUCCCGGCCACCCGGGACCAACGAUCGCAGUACGUAAGGGCAGCGCCCGGCUGUCGGGGCAACCCCAGGUAGCUCCUCCCCACACCCGGAAGAGGAACAAGCAUCGUCAGCCCAGGGAUGUGUCGCAAGAGGGCGACGUUGGGCAGGGCUGCCCGCUGCCUGUUUGGGUCGGGGCCAUUCUCUGAGUCACGGUCACCUGGGCCCGGGGAAGGCCUGGCACCCCACCCGGGGGUCUUUCAACGCAGGGACUCGUGAGCUGUGGGGGGAGACACCGGCCGACCCCGAGGAGUCCUCGGCCACCACGGGCCCUACACGGCCUGGCGCCCUCGUCCGCCCGCAACCCCCACCCCCCCUGCCCCAGCUGCCACCUGGUCAGGAGCAGAAGAAGGCUGUCCCCACAUCUGGAAUCCAGCCCCAGGACAGAAGCCCCCUGGAUCCUGAUAGAGGGGCGCACUGAGCCCCGGAAGCCUCCCCGCAGAGUGGGGACAAACACGUGAGGGGUGGGGCCCCCACAGCCAGUGAGCAAUCCGCAAACCGGAACCAGAGGGGAGAGGAUUGCUCCAGGACGCAGCCUCAGGUUUUCUGACUGAAGGGCUCAGAGACUGACCCUAACGGGUUAUGAGGUCGGAUGGCAGACGUUUUCCAGGAUGUGGAUGGGGGGAAUCUGCACCUCUGAGGUUGUGAUAUGUAACAUGCCUGAAAGUAUGUCCUCUGAGCAAAUGUGACCUUACGAUGAAGGUUAACUGUGAGGAAAUAUAACCUUGAGAAAUACUUAACUACCCUUGUCUUGGGAAGCAGCUGGGGCUCCAUGAACAUGAUGUCUGAAAGUUCCCUGGGAACCCCAGUCCUUCUCGGGGAGGCCCAUCCCCUGCCCCAAAGGGGCCUCUCUCCCCCCAACCCCUCACCCUCUACCUGCCCCUGCCAGGCUCCGGGCCAGGAGGUCUGGCCAUCGGAUGAAACGCCCAGUGACCCCCAGCCAGCCUGCCCCCACCUCGGCACGGCUCCUGCUGGCAGAGGACAGCUCCCGAAAGGGGGCGACGGCAGUCAGGCCCUGGAGCGCGAUCGCUCCCCAGGAGGGGCCUCUGCGUCACCAGGACUCGAGGGGGAACCUACCGCAGAGGUGACACAAGAGCCCCCUCAACCCCCCUCAUCUGGUCCCCCGUGUGGGCCCGGUGCUGUGUCACUGUGUCCCACAAGCGGCUGCAGAGAGGGCCAGGUGCCUGUGCGUGUGGUCAGGGUCCGGCAAGGAAGAGAGACUAGAAAGUCCUCCACAUCCUCCUCCUCCUCCUCGGGGAGCGUCAACUAGGCCCCAGGUUCUCCGCGAGGCACGGGCACGAUCCCUGACCUCACAGAGCCCGCAAGCUGGGGACCCGGCCGACCCCCGUGUCACAGAACCCUCACCCUGCCUGCCCUCGGGCCCACGGCACCACACGUCGGGAGGGCUCUACAUGCGGGCCUCCAGGCAGUAGGAGAGCACUGGCCGGCGGGAGCACGGGGCCCAGGAGGACGGCUGACCAGGGCGGACAGCGGGCAGAAGUGCUGGGCACAGCCCGGGACGACACGGACUCCACAGAGGAUGCCAGACUCGAUCGGCCUUGGUGCCACGGAACCGGCCCGUCCGAGGCGGCCACGGAGACAAAAGGGGACCGAGCAGGCAGAGCGCCUCCCAGAGGCAGGACGCCAGGAGGCCGGGGCGUCCCCUCUGGAGUUCCCUGCCUUUUCCGGCUUCCAGGGGCAGCGCAUCCCUGGCCGGCGGCCCGUCCUCCACCCUCACAGCCAGCGGCACGGGGUCCGCCCACGGCUCUGCCUCCGGCCCUCCGGCCCCCCUCGUACAACGACCCUGGUGUUGGCACCGGGACCCCAGAUAAUCCAGUAACAUCUCCCAUCUCGGGGGCCUUCAGGUAACCCCGUCUGCCAAGCAAGUCCCUCUUACCACGCGGGGGAGCACACACACUGCCAGGCUCCCGCGAGCGGGCCGCGUGCGCCUUCGGGAGGCACUACUCAGGCCGCUCAGGUGCCGUGUGAAAAGUCCGUCGUGCAAAGAAAGAAACAGUCCCCGCGUCCCUCCAACCUGGGCGCUUUCUGCUGUGGGGCACAUCUCGGGAAGACCAGCACAUCCGCCUACGUUCACCCAGACAGGAGCACAGCUUCUAGAACGUCGGAAACGGGACCGGGCUACCAACGGUGGUCCGCAGGCCCUGUUGUCGCCGAACCUAAGCAGACGUGGACAGCGGCCCGGGGCCACGGAGCAGAAAGAGCCACCCUUACGCUGCAGGGUUAAGAUCCCCAGGGACAGCCAGCGGCGGGGGCCGUGCAGGCGACCCCCGCCGACAACCUCGGCCUGCAAGUUCACGGUGGGGCUAGCGGGCCCGGGUAUGGUGGCGGCUGUCCCAAGAGGAGCUCUUGCGCACGGCUGCGGGGGGGGGGGGGGGGGGGAUGGGAAGUGGCACGGCCACUGUGGAAUGCAGCGUGGCAGUAACUGAAAAGGUGACGCAAGGGCUGGGACCACGUGACCCAGCAACCCCACGCCCGGUGUCCACCCAAGAAAAACAAAACACACGUCAGCACAGAAACCUGUAGUGAACGUUCACCGCAGCAUCGUUCGUAACACCCCCAAAGGGGAAAAAACCAAAAUACCCAUCGACUGAUGAACAGCUACACCCGGUGUGUCCCCCACGCGUGGGAACGCGAUCAGCCAGGAGCCGGAGCGAGGCGCCCCCCCCCCCCCCCCCCGCCGCCCCAAGGACGGACCCCGGACACGUGACGCUCAGGGAGGGAACCAGACCCGAGAGGCCAAGCGGGGUGUGAGUCCGCGUGGGGAACCUUUUCAGUCGUGGCGCUCAGUUUCUUCAGCUACAAAAUGGGCUGAUCGAGGGAGAGGGCAGGUCAGGAUGACCGCAGCGAGGGACCACUAAAGGUUAAUCUAACCGCACGGAACGAGGUACGCACACAGAACAUGCCACACUGAUCUGGGUACAAAGAGAUGGCCACGUUUUGGAGAUCUGGCCGUCUUCCGACAAAGCACAAGCUUUAAGAGUAAAAGCAAUGCCUUCGGAGACACAGAGCAGAUCGUUUCCGAACCCGUGCACGAAGGCCUAGCCCAUCCGGCCCCGGCAAGCGACAAACUGACCCAGACCAAGGCCGACACACCUUUUCUGUACAGGAUCACACUGUGAAUAUUCCCACCUACAUUCUCGAGCUCGACUCUCCAUUCUCGAGCUCGAGCUGACAGAGGCGAUCUGUCCAGGCACGCCGCACUCUGUGUGCCGAUAAAACUUUACUUGCAAAAACAGGCAGAGGGCCAGAUCGGUCCACCGACCAGUUAGCUGACCCCACCCCCAGAUGCCUGAAGUCCACCCCUUAAGCAACAAAACCUUUUCUUCACCUCUCCUACGGGGGACCUGAGUUCCACUGCCCACCUCCCUGAUUUCCUAAAUCACGACAGAGCAGAAAAAGCCACACUCCAGACCACGCUUGGCCCAAUUAGCUACACGGCCUGGGAGCCCAACACUGAACACGAGGUAGCCAUUCUCGGGGCACCAGGGAAAGCCACCGUGGGAUGGCCAGGAGCACACAGGACUGUUCGCCCCACACUGGCCAACCCCCUGCCGCCGGUCACCCCUCACAGGCCACACCCGCUCUGUAGAUGUGAGCCGGGAGAUGAUGAGGUUGUUCAAUCUCUUACGAGCCCACCAUUGGCCCACCAUCUGAGGCUACCUCUUUAAAACCCUCUGUCCCGGGUUUAUUAGAAAAGUACAGGAGGAGGCAGAAUGCCCGGAGUGAACACCCGCAGCAGCUGGGCAAUGCGAUUCUUUUCAAGGGCGUGGUUUGGGGUGAACGUGCCCCUGGAUGAGCCAGGUCCUGAUCCACACGACGCAGAUGGGGCAGCUCAAGCGGGGCAAUGCCCGCGUCCCCCGAAAUGCGCCAUGGCGAGGCGCGGCACUGUCGCUCGGACGCCGAAGGACGGGAGCGCAAACGUGAGCGCAAACGUGAGGAGGAGCGGCCAGCAGAGCCACCCCGAGGGUUCUGGGCUCCUCUGUGCAAAGGCUCCCGGGCCCCGGACACCCCUGAACUCAGGGCCAAACAGCAGCCGCCUUCUCCCAGCGUGCGUGCAGGCCUGACGGGCUGCCCCGGGGGGAGCCGCGGCCUUCAGUGCCUCGCUCUCCUGUGGCCACCUGGGCCUAGGGCCCGAGCACUUACUUCAAAGUCCCGGUCGUACUGGAGAGCCAAGGCCGCGGAGGACAGGUGCCCCGUAGCUGGCAGGGGUUUCUAUCAGGUCCCGGCAAGGGUGAUGGUUCCUACGGUGCACAAAAUAAAAGCACGAUGAACGGA